This 304-nucleotide ribosomal RNA is filed under the name Humboldtiana durangoensis. Its description in RNAcentral is "partial 16S ribosomal RNA". Lineage: Eukaryota; Metazoa; Mollusca; Gastropoda; Stylommatophora; Humboldtianidae. The record is from RNAcentral.
CUGUCUAUUUUUUACUAACUUGAUAUUGCUAAGGAUGUGAAAAUACCUCUACAUUAAUAAAAAACAAGAAGACCCUAAAAAUUUUUUAUAAAGUACAUUGCUACUAUUAUUUUGUUGGGGCGACAGAAUAACAAUCAACUUAUUUUAUAUCUUAUGAAAAUUUUUUAUAAUGAUAAAUAACAUUACUCUAGGGAUAACAGCUUAAUUAUUACUAAUUUGUGACCUCGAUGUUGGACUAAGGAAGGUUUAAUUCAUAAAAUUAAUCAACACGUUCUGUUCGAACGGGACCCUUACUUGAUCUGAG